This is a long non-coding RNA of Hippopotamus amphibius kiboko, 3702 nucleotides long. RefSeq lists it as uncharacterized. The record is from RefSeq and is a predicted model, not a curated record. NCBI's taxonomy places the organism in Eukaryota, Metazoa, Chordata, Mammalia, Artiodactyla, Hippopotamidae. The transcript has 4 exons.
GUUGGUUUCACUUAUAAGCAAUUGCCAGGACUCUGGCAGCAAGUCGUUUUGGGGCCCUCUUGACAAGAUUCACACGCGAUCCACAGAAGAACCUGAGACAAGUUUUGGCCAGUGGAUCAAGAAACUACAUGGGCUCAACCUUCAACUAAUGGUGCUGAGCAGAACCCAUGAGAGUGCACAUGGACAAGGUCAAUGGACAGCAGUAAAGAGACUAUCUAGCUCAUUCAACUAAAACAUGUCACAAUUUAAAAAAUUCCUCAUUUAGAAUCCUUAAGCCAUUCUGGGUGCCUCAGUGGAGGAGAGGCUACAUUUCUUCAUUCCUGGUAACAUAAUACUGCCCAGCCUUUAUUCACAGGAAGAAGGGUGUGUGUGUGUGUGUUCAGGCACAUGUCUUUUGUAGCCAGCUUAGUUACAAAAUAGAGAGUGAAGAAUAAACAGGUUUCUUGGCAAGAUGGCAAGAGAAAUGCAGGACUGCCAACCACACACUAAGCUGAGCCUUUUCCUUUGGUAGCCAUAAAUGACGCUAUUCCUCGGGCUUAUAUGAUUGAGGCUAAGGGGACUGAGGGCUAAAGGAACACCAGCUCAGAAUGACAACCUGUCUUAACACUCCUCUUACGGGAUCAUAUUAUAUUGAUAUCAGUGGUUCUCGACCUUGACUACACAUAUGAACCAUUUGGGGAGCUUUUAAAAAAUGCUGAUGCCCAGGUUCCACCCCAAACCAAUGAAAUCAUAAUCUCUGGUGGUGAAGUCUAGAUUUCUUUUUUUCUUUCUGGAAAGCAGGAUUGAGAAAUUUUAGGUUUUAUCAAGUAAAGCACAUUUCAGAGGCAUGUUAGGAUUCUUAGAUUUUUGGUAAAGGCUAGUACUACUAAUAUCUGGAUUUAUAGUCUUAUUUUUUAGCAAAUUAAUUCCAAAGAUCAAAAAUAUGACAUUAAUAAUACAAUCCAAAUAAUACAAUCCAUAACUGCUAAAGUAAAGAGCAGGGGCAAAUGACCAGCCUCUCAGUUGUCAUUUACUCGCUGACCAAUCACUGUGAGACAGCUUAGAUGAGUAGAAAACAUAAAGGCUGAGAACCAGAAAGAACUACAUUUGAAUUCUAGGCUUAUAAUCAUAUCUCUAAAAAUGGAGAUAAUAAUAUCCUAACUUUCAAUAAUAGAUAGCAUUUGUAAAGCACUUAGAGCUGGCACGUUGCAGAUAUGUAUGUAUAUUUCUCGCCUUUUUUCUUGAAAACAUCUUACUGCUAAUGUUGGUCAAUAGAUACAUUUAGUACUGAUCUUCUUCCUAAUAAGAAUAACCAUUUAUUGAGCAUUUACUAUGUAUCAAGUAACACGUUAAGCCCUUUACAUGUUGUCUUUUUUUAAUCUUCACCAUACCCCUAGGAUAUGGGUAUGGGUAUCUAUCAUAAUUUCUCCCACUUUACAGAUAAAGAACCUAAAGCCUACUGGGAUUAUAACUCGCCAAGGUCACAAUAAGUUAAUGAGCUGGGACUCAAAUCUAGGUUUGAUUCAAAAGGCUUCAGGUGCUUGACCACUGUGCUAUACUUGCCAAGGAAGAGCUAAUCCAGUCUAGUCAUGAACACUGCAAAACAGACCAAAAUUAUAAAACUGUUUUUAAAAGCUAUUAUAAACAUAUACAGAAUACCACAGAAAGAAAGAAGAGGAACUCCCAACCUAGACUUGGGUAGAAAUGGGAUCAGAAAAGUUAUUAGAAAGUCCUGAGGGACAAACAGAAAUUGUUUGCAUAAACAGCAAAAUAUGCUGAGAUUAUAACAAAUGCUUUCAAACUUUUCUAAGUCCAAUAGUAAGAAAAAUAUUUUACCUUGUGACCAAGGCAACACAACACUCACAUAUACAUGUGCAUAAUAUAUAAAAACAGGGCUUCCUAGGUGGCGCAGUGGUUAAGAAUCCGCCUGCCAAUGCAGGGGACAUGAGUACGAUCCCUGCUCCAGGAAGAUCCCACAUGCCGCGGAGCAGCUAAGCCCGUGCACCACAACUAUUGAGCCUGCGCUUUAGAGCCCAUGAGCCACAACUAUUGAGCCCAUGUGCUGCAACUACUGAAGCCCACACGCCUAGAGCCCGUGCUCUGCAACAAGAGAAGCCAUGGCAAUGAGGAGCCUGCGCACCACAACGAAGAGUAGCCUCCACUCACUGCAACUAAAAAGAAAGCCUGCGCACAGCAAAAAAAAAAAAAAAAAAAAAAGACCCAACACAGCCAAUAAAAUAAAUAAAUACAUAAAAACACGUGUUUUGCAAAUAAUUCUUAAAUUUGUAUUUACGUAUGAAUUGUAAAACAUGUUCAGUGCAGUCUGAUAGUUUCUAUUUUUUAAGUAAGUCAGAACCACUAAAUUGAUUUCACAACCCACUAAUGGGUAGCAAAACAGUUUGAAUGAGAACAUCUUGAUCAGCCACUAUGAAGAACAAUCUGGAGUUUCCUUAGAAAAUGAAAAUUAUAAUUUGAAAAGAUACAUGCACCCCAAUGUUCACAGCAGCACUAUUUACAAUAACCAAGACAUGGAAGCAACCUAAAUGUCCAUCGACAGGUGAAUGGAUAAAGCAGAUGUGGUACACAUAUACAAUGGAAUACUACUCAGCAAUAAAAAAGAAUGCAAUAAUGCCAUUUACAGCAACAUGGAUGGAUCUAGAGACUGUCAUACUAAGUGAAGUAAGCCAUACGGGAAAAGACAAAUAUCACUAUAUUGCUUAUGUGUGGCAUCUAAAAAGAUGACACAAAUGAACUUAUUUACAAAACAGAAACAGACUCUCAGACUUUGAAAACAAACUUAUGGUUACCAAAGGGGAAAGGUGGGGGGAGGGAUAAAUUAGGAGGUUGGGAUUAAUAUAUACACACUACUGUAUAUGAAAUAGAUAACCAACAAGGACCUACUAGCACAGGAAACUCUACUCAACCUAUAUAGGAAAAGAAUCUGAAAAAGAAUGCAUAUAUGUAUACAUAUAACUGAAUCACUUUGCUGUACACCUUAAACUAACACAACACUGUAAAUCAACUAUACCCCAAUAUAAAAUAAGAAAAAAUUUUUUAAAGGAAAUGGCUAAGUUUGCCUUUUGUGCCAACUCUGGUAAAAUGGCAGUAGCUACUACAGCUGUGAUAAGAAAGACUGUAAAUCUGAAUUCAAGAACAGUAUUAAACAAUGCUGGGAUUGAUUAGAGAUGUCAGUAAUGGACACAGAAGAGGGAAACAGAGGUACACAUGCCAUUUAUCUAUCAUUCCUGAUCAAGAUCAAGAUUCUAGAUGAAAACCAAAUGGGCUUUAUUUUUACACAGCUUAGCUUGCACGAAUCCACUUCAUGUUCCUUCUCAUCCUCUUGGUCUGCUCUCAACUCAGCCCGGUUAGCACAAACUUUCCCUGAACAUUUCUCAAGGAAGCAAGAUCUAACCUGGACAAAAAGAAGAGUUAGCAAAGCAGAGGGAGGAAGAAGAGAAGCAUAAGCAGAGAUCAUUCACUCUGGGUAAAGUCACGUCGGGAAAUGCCCCACGGGGAAGCCUAUGUGGUGAGGUACUGAAGCCUCCUGCCAAUAUCCAAGUGAAUGAGCAUGAAGAUCUUCUAGCCUGAAUCAAGUCUUCAGAGACUGCAGCCCCGUUCAAUACCUUGACUGCAAUCCAGUGAGAGAACCGAGCCAGAACCAUCCAGCUAAGCUGUUCCUGGAGUCUUGACCCUUAGAAACUAUGAAUUAAUAAAUGUUUGUUG